RNAcentral lists this ribosomal RNA (448 nucleotides) under uncultured organism. Its description in RNAcentral is "partial 16S ribosomal RNA". It matches the Rfam family "Bacterial small subunit ribosomal RNA", at positions 331 to 796 of the family's 1533-position model. The record is from RNAcentral.
GUACACUCCUGCGGGAGGCAGCAGUGGGGAAUAUUGGACAAUGGGCGCAAGCCUGAUCCAGCCAUGCCGCGUGAGUGAUGAAGGCCCUAGGGUUGUAAAGCUCUUUCACCGGUGAAGAUAAUGACGGUAACCGGAGAAGAAGCCCCGGCUAACUUCGUGCCAGCAGCCGCGGUAAUACGAAGGGGGCUAGCGUUGUUCGGAUUUACUGGGCGUAAAGCGCACGUAGGCGGACUAUUAAGUCAGGGGUGAAAUCCCGGGGCUCAACCCCGGAACUGCCUUUGAUACUGGUAGUCUUGAGUUCGAGAGAGGUGAGUGGAAUUCCGAGUGUAGAGGUGAAAUUCGUAGAUAUUCGGAGGAACACCAGUGGCGAAGGCGGCUCACUGGCUCGAUACUGACGCUGAGGUGCGAAAGCGUGGGGAGCAAACAGGAUUAGAUACCCGAGUAGUCC